RNAcentral lists this ribosomal RNA (276 nucleotides) under uncultured prokaryote. RNAcentral's name for it is "partial 16S ribosomal RNA". It matches the Rfam family "Bacterial small subunit ribosomal RNA", at positions 524 to 800 of the family's 1533-position model. The record is from RNAcentral.
UACGUAGGGGGCUAGCGUUAUCCGGAAUUACUGGGCGUAAAGGGUGCGUAGGUGGUUUCUUAAGUCAGAGGUGAAAGGCUACGGCUCAACCGUAGUAAGCCUUUGAAACUGGGAAACUUGAGUGCAGGAGAGGAGAGUGGAAUUCCUAGUGUAGCGGUGAAAUGCGUAGAUAUUAGGAGGAACACCAGUUGCGAAGGCGGCUCUCUGGACUGUAACUGACACUGAGGCACGAAAGCGUGGGGAGCAAACAGGAUUAGAUACCCUGGUAGUCCCUGA